GGCUUCGUAGCUCAGCUAGCAGAGCGCUCGCCGCGUUUGGGCAUGGUGUUUCGCUCGCUGGUUCGAAUCCAGCCGAAGUCC
RNAcentral lists this transfer RNA (81 nucleotides) under Paragonimus skrjabini miyazakii. RNAcentral's name for it is "Paragonimus miyazakii tRNA-Arg". It matches the Rfam family "tRNA". Rfam says of the family: Transfer RNA (tRNA) molecules are approximately 80 nucleotides in length. Their secondary structure includes four short double-helical elements and three loops (D, anti-codon, and T loops). Lineage: Eukaryota; Metazoa; Platyhelminthes; Trematoda; Plagiorchiida; Troglotrematidae. The record is from RNAcentral.